This 233-nucleotide ribosomal RNA is filed under the name uncultured bacterium. RNAcentral's name for it is "partial 16S ribosomal RNA". It matches the Rfam family "Bacterial small subunit ribosomal RNA", at positions 796 to 1041 of the family's 1533-position model. The record is from RNAcentral.
CACGCUGUAAACGAUGAGUACUAAGUGUCGGGAAACCGGUGCUGAAGUUAACACAUUAAGUACUCCGCCUGAGUAGUACGGUCGCAAGGCUAAAACUCAAAGGAAUUGACGGGCACCCGCACAAGCGGUGGAGCAUGCUGUUUAAUUCGAAGAUACGCGAAAAACCUUACCUAGACUUGACAUCCCUGGCAAAACUAUAGAAAUAUAGUGGAGGUUACCCAGGUGACAGGUGG